CAGGCACAGCGGGUUCAAGUACAGGGAAAAGUACGAAGAGUUGAAGAAAAAGCCCAAAUUCAACAUUGCUGAAACUCAGCUUUACAAGAGAAUGAGGCAGGUUGCAGCAGACACUUGCGACGACAAUUACAUGGGUGACUACAACAAGAACAUCAAGGGCAAGGGUGUGGCCAACUAUGCCGAGACUCCGCUGUACCAGAGGAACAAGGAGGCCGGAGAUGCAUCCAGCGAGGUUUGUCGUGGUUAACAAAAAGACACCCCCCU
Branchiostoma floridae (Florida lancelet) is the source of this 264-nucleotide long non-coding RNA. RefSeq lists it as uncharacterized. NCBI's taxonomy places the organism in Eukaryota, Metazoa, Chordata, Leptocardii, Amphioxiformes, Branchiostomatidae. The transcript is spliced from 3 exons. The record is from RefSeq and is a predicted model, not a curated record.